This 873-nucleotide ribosomal RNA is filed under the name Triticum aestivum (bread wheat). RNAcentral describes it as "partial small subunit ribosomal RNA". The record is from RNAcentral. Lineage: Eukaryota; Viridiplantae; Streptophyta; Magnoliopsida; Poales; Poaceae.
AUGAAUGUCUACGCCAUAAAAGACGUCAUGCUACUGAAGCUGAAGCGUCUACUAGCUGGUUCCACCAACACUGGUACUGGCGGUGAUGCUAGCAUACUUUCCACUGUCCAGAUGCCUCACAAAGUUGGAAAAAUGACCGACCUGGAAGUGAUGUCCCAUGUACAGGCUUCAAAACAUCAUGCUACAGAGCUGAGAGAGAUUGGCCAGCUAUGGCAGCUGAGGGUAAUUGGUGUGGCCAUUUAUAAUACGAAAGCUCAACUUGAGAACUUACUCCAAGGGAUCAGCGAUCUGAAUGAGUGCCUUAGGUCUCUGGCCAUCGAGAUCAAGCCUCUGUCUGACAACCAGGCUGCUACUCCUUCUGAUGUACCUGCAGCUGAUGCUAUCAGUGUACACUGUAAGAACACACCCAGGCUUCUUGAAAGGCUGAGCAUCAGUGGAGACACAAUCUAUGGGCGUCUUUACCCAUUAUUUACCAGAGGCUGCCGCAUACUUGCCGAGAUAACUCUUCAUAACACCUUGCUGGACCAGGAUGAUAUGGACUCACUAGCAGGUUUGCCCAACCUACGCAGCCUCAGGCUACAGCAUGUUAAUUUACACACCAGUGGCAAGCUUAUAAUCCAGACCAAUGGGUUCCAAACCCUCAAGUGUCUUGCUGUUGAGAGGGGCGGAGUCACCGACAUCAACUUCGAACCUGGGGAAGCUCCUAAGCUUGAAAAGAUCGUUUGGCUCGUUGACAGGAUAGAGUCUCUCUCGGGAAUCAACUACCUUCCCAAGUUGAAGGAAAUGGUGUUCAGUGAUGGUGUCAGGGUACCAGAUCAAGUCAAACAAGCCAAAGAAGCACAUCCAAACUUCAUUGAUAUUAAUGAAAUAUAG